Raphanus sativus (radish) is the source of this 912-nucleotide long non-coding RNA. RefSeq lists it as uncharacterized. NCBI's taxonomy places the organism in Eukaryota, Viridiplantae, Streptophyta, Magnoliopsida, Brassicales, Brassicaceae. The transcript is spliced from 2 exons. The record is from RefSeq and is a predicted model, not a curated record.
UAAUAUACCCUUUCUUUGUAAACACAAUCAAAACUCAUCUCUUUUGUUCUUCCCUCGUUGUCGUAUCCUCUGAGACUAUCAAUGGUUAUCAAUUUAUUUAUUUAUUCCACAAAAAUUCCAUCUAUUUUAUUUAUUCUCUCUCAAAUUCUCAAUUUUUACUGCUCUAAUCCCAAACUCUUAUUUUUUUUCUCAAUCACAUCCCUUUCUCAGAUAAAACAUCCAAGAGAGUUUCAAUCAUUUUGUGGAGACGCCAUAGACAGAUCUUCGGGCCGCGGAGUGGGAGAAAGAGGAGGAGCUACUCAUCGAUCUCGGCGGUUGAAGUGGGGUAGUGGAUUUUGUGUAUUCUGAGACUUGUUUCUGGGAAUUUGAGUAAGAACCCUAAAAAAUGUGGACGAGAUUGUUGUGGUGUUGUGGACGGGUGGGGUGUGGACAUGAGAAUUGUGGAUGGGUUAAGCGUGUUCAGAGGAGUUGUGUACGAGGGACAUGUGUUUAAGACAGAUGUGUACGGGGGAGUGGUAUACAGGGGAGUUGUGUGUGGGGGAGUUGUGAGGGGAUCUGCAGUUCACUGUCUGAAGUCAAUUGUCGCUGAUAAAAAGUCACAGACUUCCUCCUCUUCCUCGCCGUCGCGCACUGUCUGCAGUCGAUUGUCGCAAACGGAAGGUAAAGUUGUUGGCUUUAACAAGAUAACAUUAUGUGGGGAGGCUCAAAUGUGCAUUUCUCGAGGAUGAUUGUCAGUGACUUGGAUCUUCAUGUUUUGCCUAGAGAAAGAUUGGAUAAGCUCUAGGUUUUGAAGCUUGACAAGUGCUCUUGUUCUCAACUGAUGGACUCAGAGCAUCAUCAGACACGAAGGGAGAGCAGUAAGUUCAAGGAUUGAGAUCUGUGAAUUAACAAAGAUAUUGUUUCAAAUCAUCA